Molecule: long non-coding RNA, 4323 nt
Organism: Astatotilapia calliptera (eastern happy)
Lineage: Eukaryota; Metazoa; Chordata; Actinopteri; Cichliformes; Cichlidae
Source: Ensembl
AGGUUGAACAUCUGAUAUGUUUUCUGUGUUCUAUUGUGAAUAAAGUUUAGUUUACAAGAUUUGCACAUCUAUUACGCAGCACCCCAGCUAUGUGGAACUGGGGUUCUACACUUAUUAGAAAACAGAAUCAGUGAUAUGAAAGACAGGAAGUGAUUUUAGUUUUAAGUAAAUCUACAGUUUAAGAGAAGCGACUUAAGGAAUUGAAAAAGGUUUCUGGCAUAAACGUAUCCCUUUUCUUUAGUCAUUUGAUAAAACAUGAAAAAGCCAGUUAAUGACUGUUAAAUGAAGCAGUAAGUUAAUAUCUACAUAAGAGUUCAGGUGUCACUAUGAUACAGGGAAGGUAAUAUUUAUGAAAUAUUGCUCUGAUAACGGGGAUCAAAAAAGAGGAACAUUAUUCAUCCCACCAUUGUGAACAAUUAGACCCGACACCACCUGGAAGUCCAGAAAUAAAGUUUAUUUCAGUUCGUCUUCAGCCUUCACAACAAUUUAAAUAGCAGGACAGAAGACGUCCGUCUCUGUACACAUUGGUUAGUAAAAAAAAAAAAAUCUAAACUCAGGUCAGACACUUCCACUUCCACAUUCACUGAUACUGCGUCUCUUUUUAUUGUUUUUCUUUCUUUGCAUUGAGAGGAAACAUCCAAGUCGAUGCAGCAACAGUAACCGUGCUUCUAAAGAGUUCAUUAGAAGCACAAAAGUUCAGUUUGUCUCCCGUUUCUUGUCCUGAGGGAGUGCCUACAAAGAAAAUGCUCCAGAUAAAAACAACUUCAUUUCAAAGACAAUCUUUAACACAGCCGGCCCCGCCAAGAGAACACUGAUUGUUUGGCAACGAGCAAUAUUUUGAGGCAAUGGAAGCUGAAACAUUUCCCUGCAACCUGCUCCAGGUAUAACGGUCCUAAAGGCCUGCAGCCUGUUCAUAUUUUCCCAGGAAAUUUUUGUUAAAGGAAAUUGAUUUUUGUUUGUACUUUUAAAAGUCUGAAAUUCAAAAUGACCUAAAAAAAUUAAAUAAAAUUUGAGUAUUUAAUCUGGUAAUUCCACAUUAAAAAUGCCAGAAUCAGCUUAGUUUAUAUACAAUAACUUUGGCAUUUCACAAUGAAGACAUGAUUCAUUCACUGCGCCUUCAUACUAUGAUUUUUUUUCUCACAGACCUUCUAAGCAGACUUUACAGGUGACUCUCAGGUUCAGCAGCUGGCUGCACGAAAUUUCAGAUGAAAAAUUAAUUAAAAUUAAAACAAUUCCUCAUCCUCAGAAAAAAACUGUGACACUUCGAGUUGGUUUAAAACCGAUUUAAAAUUUGGUUGCAGUUUUUAACAAAGUUCAAGAUUGUGUUUCAGUCCUGAAAAUUUCAUGUGUCCAUCUGCUGUACUCCUGAAGUGAUGAAGGACAAAUAAGGCAAUUUAAAAAGCACCAACCCUGUAUGCUUUAGAGGCCUGUAAUUCAGAGUUUUCACAGUAUUAUGGUAAAAUUUUGCACGACUUCAGUUAUGCUAAAGUUACUGUAUAAAAACAAAACAAAUUAUUUUCUUAUAAUUAGUAUCAAAUUACUAAUUAUAAUUUGGCAGGAAAGCAUGAACGUUAUGUUGAAUCUUUGGGAAUGAUUACAGACCUUUAAAUAUAAAAGGCCAUAUUUUCCCCAGCUGCUUUAGCUCCUUUGAGGCAACUUUCUGAAAACCUGAAGGUAUGAUCAGCAGGUUGGUGCAGCUGUCGAAAUGACUGAAUUAGGGAUCUGCUGUGUCUGACGUCCCAACAAUAGGAAAAACAACCCUGUAGGACAAUGGGGUGUUUAGGGGAGUCUAAAGCCUGGGUUUCAGGGAUUACUUGUACAUACACUGACUUAAUUACUUGAAACUCUGUUUAAUGUAAGCAUCCACCACUGUAAUAGUAUGUAUACGACAGAAAAGAAGUAAAUGCAUAACAGGUCCCAAAUCUGACUGUUUUUUUUAAAGCCGAAUGACACCUUGUCUUUUCCAGUGUGCUCACUGGAAGGGGUGUGAAGCAAGCAUGGGAACCUUUAUGUCCUGAGUAAGAGUAAAGUUUUAAUCUUGUCACACCUCCUUUACACUUAACUGUAAAUUUAGCAAUUAAACAGUGAAGAGUGAGAUAUUUGGGAAAUAUCAAUUCAGAUAAAUAUUAAAUGGGGGAAAAAAAAAAAAACAUGAAGUGAAGAGACUCUGUACGCAUAGUCCCCAGACUUAAUCAUCCAAUCAGAGGCAAAGUGCACAGAGAUGACAAACUAAAAUGUUGGACUGUUCCUUUGACAGAUCAGGACUAGAUGCGGGUAAAUCCUCCUGAGCCCCACUGCCUCAGAUACCCACCAACUACUGCAGCCCACCACACACAGCGAGUGUGCAAAGCCAGAGGAAUAGAAAACUGCAAAAAGGUGACUGUAAACCAUCUGAAACUGCAGUGCAGAAUGAUACUGACUCAAACUGCAAAAAAUAUACAGGAAUGUGAAUUAAAAACUAGAGAAUAAAGUCCAAACCACUGUGAAACAUCAGUAACAGUAAUUGAAUGAACAUAAACAUGUGUUUAAAACAUAACAGACGUGAUCCAGUUUUUCCCACAGCUUUUAAAAAACUGGGGCUGUAAUCUGUUCUGCUGUUCUGUUCAUGCAAUCGGACAGCAAGAAAAACAAAAGCCUUUAGAGGGCGCUAGUGAGGCUCUAGAGGCUGUGUCAAACAUUAAAUGUUAAGAAAAUUACAAAUCAUUUUUGGAUUACAAGAAAGCACCACAAAACGUCCCAAAGCUUAGGAAUGCCUCAUUUACUGAGUUCAUUUAGUCCUGCUUCAUAUUGUUAUCUUUGAUAUAUGCUGCGACUUAGAGCUGCAACAUUUUUAAUGCAGUAAUGUUCCUGGGAGAUAAACACCUUGUCAGUUAUUCUACAAAAUGUAGUUUCAGGGAGACUGUUUAAAACUUAAAAACAAAGCUGAGGUUUCUGCAGAACACAAAUGGACGUUUCUCAACUACAGAGCACAAACAUUAAAGGACUACGAUGACCUGGAUGACUGAGAACCUUCACAGACAUAAAGAGCACAAUCUGUAAUUGCAUAAGGGAUUAGUCAUGGUAGUACAUGGUCAGUGGUUCCAGCCAGCUACAUCGAACCACUGAGAAUCAUCUACAGUGUGUUCUGCAGGCACGUGUAUGGCGAGGUGGAAGCAGAAGUGGGCAGGGCUUAAUCUUUUAAGGUGGGGUUACAGUCCUGAGUGUUGUUGAUUGUUCGACUAUACGCUCACUUUUUAAUCUAUAUAUUGUUAUGUUUUUGAUUUUUUUUUUUUUUAAAUAUUAACCCGACAAUGUGGGUCUGCUAAUAGUAAGUCAAUGAUUUUAUAAAUGACUGGCUUGUAUUUGCCAAAUAUUUCCAGAGCGUGGUGGAAACUUGAAAAGUUUAGACAUAUAAGCAAGAGUUCUGAUAAAUUAAGGUGGAAAUGUGGCUCGUGAUAAAUAAAGUUUCCUAUUUUAAACACUGAACCAGAAAAUGUUGCAGUAUUGAAAAAAAAAUGGAUAGGAGCAUCAGAUUACAGCCUCAGUCUUCAUGUUUCAAGCUUUGAGAAAGUUUGUAAAACUUCAAUCUCACAAAAGAUGUAAAAAAAAAAAAAAAAAAAAGAAAAAAAAAAAAAAAAAAGAAGGAAAAAGGAAAAAGCUUAAACGUUUUCUUUUCCCACUUCAUCGUUCAUAUGCUCAGCCAGUUUAUCAGCUGCUGUAGAAGGUGCAUCUUUAAACCUCCCAGUCUCAAAAACACAUCAAACUACUAAUUUCUACUUCAUGCCAUAGACGAUAAAAUCAAAAUUAAAAAGUUGAAUAUAAUGUAAAACAAACAAAACCACAUAAUUAAAUACUAAUAUAUACAGUGGUUUUUAAAAAUUUGUUGUUGUGCUGCUGCACGUUAGAAAUGUGCAUGAUUAUAGCCACAUAAAAAAAAAUUUAAUCAUAUAACUGUGUGUAAACAUAAAUACUAAUAUUCCUAAGUUCGUCUUUAGUGUUGAUCAGAGCACAGUAACAGCGGCAGAGAAACAGGAACUCCAAACCUCCAUUUAGAAAAUGUUGACACUUUUUGUGCAACAAAAUAAAACAAACAAAAAAAAUAAAUGCAUGAAAAGCUGAAAUAUGGAGAAGUGAGGUUUCCGUAGGACAUCAGCUACCACAGCAUCAUCAUCAUCAUCAUCAGCCCAUCAAAUAAAACAAAUCCUUCAGAGAACUUAAGACAUGAAACAGUUUGUUUUGUCAAAUCAAAAGCUAAACAUCUGAGACAAUGAACAUGAGAAACUUCAGUUACAUUCUAGCUAGUUGUUGUUUUUAUAAGUUGUUUAUAUCUUUGUACAGUGUCUG